AGAGUUGAUCCUGGCUAGAACGAACGCUGGUAGCGUGGAUUAGGCAUGCAAGUCGAACGGGAGUCCGGGAGGCAGCAAUGUUUCCGGUGAGAGUGGCGGAAGGGCGAGGAACACGUGGGCAACCUGUCCAGGAGGUGGGGAAAACCUCGGGAAACUGAGGCUAAUACCGAAUGUAGCGCCCGCUCGCAUGAGCGGAGCGCCAAAGGGGGCGAAAGCUCCCCCUCCACGAGGGGCCCGCGCACCAUCGGCUAGUUGGCGGGUAACGGCCCACCAAGGCUCACGGUUAGCUGGUCUGAGAGGAUGGCCAGCCGCACUGGGACUGAGAUACUGCCCAGACUCCUACGGGAGGCUGCAGUCGAGGAUCAUUCGCAAUGGGCGAAAGCCUGACGAUGCGACGCUGCGUGGGAAGGAUGAAGGCCUUCGGGUCGUAAACUCCUGUCAUGAGGGAAAAGGAGACCCUGCCCAAUACGCAGGGGAUUUGAUGGUACCUCAAGAGGAAGGGACGGCUAACUCUGUGCCAGCCGCCGC
Molecule: ribosomal RNA, 528 nt
Filed under: uncultured bacterium
Lineage: Bacteria
Description: bacterial SSU rRNA
Rfam family: Bacterial small subunit ribosomal RNA
Source: RNAcentral